This 462-nucleotide ribosomal RNA is filed under the name uncultured Sphingobacteriales bacterium. RNAcentral's name for it is "bacterial SSU rRNA". It matches the Rfam family "Bacterial small subunit ribosomal RNA", at positions 338 to 795 of the family's 1533-position model. Lineage: Bacteria; Pseudomonadati; Bacteroidota; Sphingobacteriia; Sphingobacteriales. The record is from RNAcentral.
CCUACGGGAGGCUGCAGUAGGGAAUAUUGGGCAAUGGGCGAAAGCCUGACCCAGCCAUGCCGCGUGAAGGAAGACGGCCUUAUGGGUUGUAAACUUCUUUACUAUACGAAUAGAGGUUAGUACGAGUUACUAAUAGGAAGGUAGUAUAGCAAAAAGCACCGGCUAACUCCGUGCCAGCAGCCGCGGUAAUACGGAGGGUGCAAGCGUUAUUCGGAAUUACUGGGUUUAAAGGGUGCGUAGGCGGUUAUAUAAGUUGUCAGUGAAAGGCUACGGCUCAACUGUAGUAGUGCUGGCGAUACUGUAUAACUAAGAACAUGGGAGGGGUACCUGGAAUGUGUGGUGUAGCGGUGAAAUGCAUAGAUAUCACACAGAACACCGGAGGCGAAGGCGGGGUACUAGACCAUAGUUGACGCUGAGGCACGAAAGCGUGGGGAGCAAACAGGAUUAGAUACCCCUGUAGUC